AAACCAACAGGGAUUGCCCUAGUAACGGCGAGUGAAGCGGCAGCAGCUCAAAUUUGAAAUCUGGCUUCGGCCCGAGUUGUAAUUUGCAGAGGAUGCUUCUGGCGCGGUGCCUUCCGAGUUCCCUGGAACGGGACGCCACAGAGGGUGAGAGCCCCGUAUGGUCGGACACCAAGCCUGUGUGAAGCUCCUUCGACGAGUCGAGUAGUUUGGGAAUGCUGCUCUAAAUGGGAGGUAAAUCUCUUCUAAAGCUAAAUACCGGCCAGAGACCGAUAGCGCACAAGUAGAGUGAUCGAAAGAUGAAAAGCACCUUGAAAAGGGGGUUAAAUAGUACGUGAAAUUGUUGAAAGGGAAGCACUUGUGACCAGACUUGGGCCGGGCGGCUCAUCAGGGGUUCUCCCCUGUGCACUCCGCCCGGCACAGGCCAGCAUCGGUUCUCGUGGGGGGAUAAGACCGUUAGGAACGUAGCACCCUCCGGGGUGUGUUAUAGCCUGGCGGACGAUACCCCCGUGGGGACCGAGGUUCGCGCUCCGCAAGGAUGCUGGCGUAAUGGUCACCAGUGAC
This 561-nucleotide ribosomal RNA is filed under the name uncultured fungus. RNAcentral describes it as "eukaryotic LSU rRNA". It matches the Rfam family "Eukaryotic large subunit ribosomal RNA", at positions 62 to 648 of the family's 3401-position model. The record is from RNAcentral. Lineage: Eukaryota; Fungi.